ACGCAAUUGCCAAAGAAUUGGGAAAGUGAAAUAACGCAGAAAGUAAAAGGAAAAGCCUUUAAGUCUCCUUUCUUGCUUCGUGCCUGUCCGGAGAAGAAAAGGAAUCAAGCAAAAGUCUUAUGCAAUUCGUACAAAAGCAACAGCAAAGCAUCAAUUGUUCUCCGGGAAGAAAUAAAGCUAAUCUACUAGGCUCGUGUGAAUCUAGCUUUGUUUUAUUGGCCGCCGAAAAGAAAGGAAAACGUCUGACCGAAAAGGAAGAAACUAAAAGCUAAUCUAUUGAUUCCUUAGACGUGAAUCUGGUUUUUCUGUUAGCCUUUUGAAGCCGCCGCAAAAGAAAAAGAAACGUUUGCCUCUACUUCUUCUUUGGAAAAGAGUUUUAAUCCCAUGCAACUCCGCUGCCUACGAGCCCUUUUUGGUUUCCUGAUAUUUCACUUGUUUUACCAAUCCUGCGGGUCCGUCUUUUAAGUGCAUUCCUUAGUUUCUGGCGUGGGCACCCCAUGAAAUAGAGAGUCUUAUGAAAAUUUGCCUCGUGAAAGCACUUUUUAUAUUAUCCACCUACAAUUCAUACAAAUAUGAAAUAUGAGUAAAAUCUCAAUACUUAGCACAACAAGUAACCAAAAUUAGGACAAAAUAACAGUGCAAAAUGUGCCCAAUAAUUGCUCUAUCAAAUCCCCUCACAUCUAGAUAAUGCUUGCCCUCAAACAUUUCGAAACUCAGAAGCACAAUCAAGAUAGCAACAGUUUCAUAGUCAUCUAUACCAACCCAAAUAUCCUGCAUUCCCGACAAUAUCACCAAUAUUAGAAUAUACGGGACAGGUGGUAAUCCAAAAGAAUAUGAAUAGUUAUACUCGUCACCUUCAAGAAAAUGUAUGAAUGAUGGGAACACUCAAAUCGAUGUCGCGCCCCAUUUUUUGGAAAAUCGGAAAAAGGUCAUUUUGAAAUCAUAAUGUGUAGUGUGUGUUGAAUAUGCGAAGUGUGUGAACGUGAGAAAUAAAGGAAAAGGCCAUGGGACUUUUAAAUGCGACAUUUUGGCCAAAAUAAUAAUCUAAAAAGGUUUUUAAAUGGAAAAACAGGAGUCGCCACUUGGUAUUGAGUUGGGGUGUACCAAGUCACUCGAAAAGUAGUUUUGAAAAAGUGAAGUAAAAACCUUUUUAGAUGACUCCUAACCUACGAAAAUCAGAGAGACGAGUUCGAGAGUCACGGUUGAUAAAAGGGAAGGCAAAGACAAAGUCUAAGGCAUCAUUUUACCCUAACUUAAGCUAGUUGCGUGAUUUAGUCAUAAUUUUCCUUAAUUUCUAACCAAAAAAUAUAUUGCAUUUGGAUGCGUCUAAUAUGAAUGCAAACCUAAAUCUAAUGAGUGGUUCGAAUGGGACAAAAUGUCUCUUUUGAAGCUUGAUUGAUCCUAAUCACACGAGUUGUGAUAGCCCAUAGUGAAUCCUCAAAGAGGUCACGAAUAAAUGCAAAUGAAUGCUCAAGUAAUAAUGAGAAAAACGAAAGUGUGCAAAAAUGUCUUUGAGUGUAAAAAAACGAGUGUUAGGUGCAAGUGUGCAAGUAGGUAUGUAAAGUGUAGGUGUGUAAAAGUGCAUGUGUUCAAAAUGAGGGAGAGUGUAAGGUGCAGGUGUGCAAAUGAGUAAGUAAAAUGUAAAUGUGAGAGUGUGCAAAAGGAUAGAGUGGAUAAAGUGGUAGUGUGAAGAGUUAAAAUGUAUAAAGUGAGAGUGUGUGAAGUGAUAGUGGAGUAAAGUGGUAAUGAGAAUGUGAGAGUGAGAGUGUGCGAAGUGAUAAUGGAGUAUGGUGAGAGUGCAAAGUGAUGGUGGGUAAAGUGAUAAAAUGCCUUAGAAUGCAUGAGUCCUAGAGAAAUGCAAGCAAAACGGGUACGGGGAGACCCUAGAUCAUGACUUUUGAUUUGCCUUUUGAUUAGAAAGAAAACAAGCGUGCUAAAACUAUGUGUAGCCAUACUCGUCUAUUUCCCUUACCAACAGGGUGACUCCCUAACCUAUGCAAGCAAAUGAGCUAGUCUAAAAUGAGAAUGCAAACCUAAAUAUGUAAGGGACAGGUUAGGUGAGCAUGCAAAAAUGAGAAAUACUAAAAGGAAAAAUGAAUGAAAUGUAGUGAAUGCAUGCGAGUGUGUACUAGCGAGGGACGGCCUUAUUGGGUCUAGCAUUGGACUAGCCCUUUACUAACGUUUUCUCACAAGCGUUGGACUUGUAAGAGCUCGAGGGGAAGACCAUGACUAGCAUUGGACUAGUCACGGUAACGUACAUUCCAUCCAUAUAAUCAGAUAUAAUUCUAAAGCAAGUAAACAUGCAAAGCACAUAGUUUCACAUAGCACGUAGCACAUGAGCAUACUUAUCUAGAUGUAGAAACCUAGGGAAAGCAAUUAAACGCAUAGGCAUCUAGGCACACACAAGCACAUAGCACAUAAGGCCUAUCUAUUACAAAAGGGGAGGCCCUACUACAACCUAAAGGAGAAAAGAAUAAAUAAAUAAAAUAAUAACCUAACUAUUACAACUUUGGCAUUAAAUUGCCUUUCAAAUGAUCAAAAUUGAACUAAAAUAAAUAUACCAAACUAAAGCCAAUAAAGCAAACAAAUAAAUAAAUGAAAUAAAUAAAAAACAUUCAAGAGUCAUACAAUCAAACACGUAAAGUCACAUAGAGCACAUAGAGUCAAAUAAAGUAAGAAAUAAGGGAUAGGGUGUACCUCCCUUGAAUUGGGGUUCUAAUGGAGUGAAAUUAUUUAUUUAUCCUCCAAAAACAAAGAAAUGGUCAAGAUAUCGCUUUAAUUGAGAAAACUAAAGAAAAUAUACAAACACAAACUCAAUUGGUCAUAAAGCCCUUAAGAUUGUGAAUUAAAUGCAGUUUCAGCAAAGUAUGGUGGCUAAUUGAAGCAAACAAGCAAUGAAGUUGCGAAAUUAAAGCUGCCAAGGACCAAAUCGCAAAUAUCAGAAAGUUGUUAGGGCCUAAUCACGAUUUCCAAAACUUUGGGACAAAGAUUGAAGGAACGAUAAAGUUCAAGGUUCAAUUUGCAAUUGUGGCAGAGACCCAAUUGAAUGAAUUAUAACAGUUUUGGGGGUAAAAUUAUAAAGUUCGGGAACCCCGGGGCCAAAUCACAAAAUGAAGAGAAAAUGGAGGGACUAAAAUUGCAAUUUUAGACCAAAAGGUCUCCUUCCCCAACAAAUCAGACGUCAAUCUACCAUUUUUGUCUUUCUUUGUAGAUGAAGAACAUCCGAAAUGUCAAAUGAAACUCGCGCAACCCAAAUUUAUACAAAGGAAAGGAUAAAAAACAAAAAGAAAGAAUGUCCGAUCAUGCAAAUUUCUAAAAAAAAAAACUUCUUUUUUUCUCCGCCAAAUCAAUGAUAUUCGGCCAGCUUUGGAUUGACCAGAGCCGCACCUCACACAUAGAUCCACACAAGAUUCAUCAAUUUUUGCUGCUUUGAUUCAAAGUUUUUCUAUCAGGCAUUUCUUCAAACACCAAAUGGGCAUAAAAAAACAUCAUCGAUUCUUAGGUUAAUUGAAUCUAUAACCAGCCCAAAAAAUUUGUCAAAACACAGGAGAUUCCAGUCCAACCAAUAUACAAAGCAUACAAUCUAAAAUCGUGAGCCAUCAACAUGAAAUUUACACUGAACAAGUGCACGGCAGACAUGCUUUGAGAUUUUCCAAUGUUUGUGCUAAAAUGGAAAAUUGAAAUUCAAAGAGGGAGGACGGCUUACAGCAUUUGCUUGGUGAAACUUCGCUGGUGAUGAUGGUGGGUUCGGUGAGGUGGUGGCGGCAUGAGCGGCGGUGGUUCUUGGAACGAGGGUCUCGGGGAUGGCAGCAGGGGAGGAAGGCGGUGACGGUGUUUCUGCUGCCAUUGCUUUCUUUCUUGUUUCCGUUCCACCUUUGGCCGAAGGCCCUUUUCUUCCUUUGUUCCUUAGUCCGCCACCUCUUUGGACUUUUUUUCCUCUGGCCCCUCUUUGCUUGUUCCCUUCUCUUCACGAAGCUGCCCCCUGGAUCUUUCUCUUUUUUUUCUCUGUUUUUGGCUUCCCCCUUUUGUUCGGCCAAGCUCCUAUUCUCUUUUUACCUUCAGAUCCUUCAAACCUAGCCGCGGGUCCCUUUUUUUGUUUUCUUGCCCGAUAGUUUUCUUCUUACUCCAUCAACCGAAGACCUCUCGAAGCUACCCUUCUCUAUUCAGCCGUAGCCACCACUUUUCUCCUUAACCGCCGCUCUUUUCUUUUUCCUUUCGGCUCUUUCUACCCUGUCCCAAAAACCUAGCUGACCCAAAACCUUCUAUUACUCUCUUAGCCUUCUCGGUUUUUCUCCCUCUAAAAACCCCUUUUCCAGCUGUCACUCUUUCUCUUUAUAUAUCCCCCAAACCCUGAUUUUCACGGCUCUUGAUAAAUCUUGGUUCACCACUUUUCUAUGGCCAUCCAAUCGCUCUUCAUUCCAGAUGAGAGCCAGGUAGGAUGAAGUCAAGGUAAUCCAAGGGUAAAGGAAAAACA
This 4474-nucleotide long non-coding RNA is filed under the name Coffea arabica (coffee). RNAcentral describes it as "long non-coding RNA (CARA_LNC002888)". Lineage: Eukaryota; Viridiplantae; Streptophyta; Magnoliopsida; Gentianales; Rubiaceae. The record is from RNAcentral.